UGUUGUCCUAGGAGGUGACUGCCACGUCCAACAGAGGAUCAUAGUGCUUGGAGUAGACAAAAAUAAAGCUUUACCUGAAAAGAAAGAAAUCACCAUGUCAAAACGCUCAGAUACUAAAGAUAACAAGGACGAUCCUGAUCCAGAGUGUUCCCUAACUACCCAAUUAGUACCUACAAUGCAUCUGUUAAAUGCUACUGAGAAUGUCAGUGUGAAGUGCAGAGUGGAUCCCUCUUCAAUGUAUGAUGUCCAGCCAGUGAGGAAGCCUGAUUUUAAAGGUGUGAAAAAAAGGAAAUGGAUUUAUGAUGAACCAAAGAACUCUCCUGGCCCAGGAAUGUAGAGAGUGGUACAGGCACCAAUUUCCCAAAAUAAAAUGAGGGACCAUCGCAAUUAUAAAAACAGAAAUGCUGAAAAUGCAUCCUAUAUCCAUGCUCAGAGAGAUGCUGUCAAACCUGUCUCGUUGAAUGCACCUUCUUACAGCAGGCCCAUGAAUAGUUCCUACAUUAAAGGCAAUGUUAACAAGGAACCCAAACCCAACCGCUGUCCUGGUGAGGUUCAUUACUUACAUAAUUUACUCAUGUCUAUAGUUUGCAUCACCAUGGAAUUUCUGGAUGGUCCAACUGACCUUCACUGUUACCCACCUUCUCUUCUUUUUCGAGGCCAUCACCACCAUAACAUCUUAGAAAACUAGUGAAGGGAUUUCUUCCAUGUGUAGAAAUACACGAUUUAAAGGAUAUGGAAGAAAACAUGUUGGGUGACAUCAUUUGUUGUGAACCUCCCUAGAGUUUUGUCUCAGAGCACAGCACUCUGUUCCCCCUGGAUAGCUUUACUUCACCCUUAACGAUUGUUUUCAAAUGGUUGACCUUGUCUUGUUCCACUAACUACAUUGUUCAAUGAUCACUUCAUGCUAGUGCUUCAGCUUUUCUUGAGAACCUCAUGACUACUUUUGGAAAGGGUUAGUUUGGGGGUUAAUGGCAAUUAUUUUUGACAACGUCUCAUCUCUUCCACCAUACACAGAUUGCUUCUAAAUCAUUGCCAUCACAUAACAGGCAAAAUCACAGUAUGUGUCAGGCAGUACAGGCCUCAAGGGAGGAAAGAACCAAAUCUCUUUUUCUUCCUGUCUCACAUGAAUUUUGCUCUUUUAAAGUUGGGUUGCAAAGUCCACUCAGCUCCCUGUGAUAUCAUGCUUGUAUUUUCCUGUGUUCACAGUCUACUCAGGGCAGUUCUGAAUGUUGUGUACUUUCUGAAAUAUAAGUAAAAACUCUGCUUCUUUUAGGUCUUUUCUUUUAUAAUUUAAAUAGAAGUUAGUUUUAUGUAAAUUGUUUUUCUUCUCCUUGUUUUAGAAUAGAAUGAUGUAUGGAUUUACAUAUAAAAAUAAGGAUACCAAUAGGUAAAGCAGGCUUUUCAUUUUAUUUACUAAUUUUAAAAAAUCAAUUUUAUUGUUAUUUUACUGUGAGCAGACACCUGUGAAGAAUACAAUGGCCAGCAGAACUGCCUGGUGCCAUUAUCUAGAUUUGUGUGAAGGUGGCUGCACUUACACUCGCUAUUGCUUUUGCACCAUUUGUGCAAAUGUCAACACGGAAAAAUCAAAAUAAAUUCGUAGGAUUAUUGUGGACCAUUAUUUGACAAUCACAGCUGUGUGGUAAUACUUGAAAACACAAAUAUAUCACUGUUAGUUAACUGUUCAAAUACAGAGCCAUCAGAGGAAAGUAGACAUUUAAAGACCAAGUCAAUAUAUAAAUGCUUUGGUUUCCCGGGGCAGAGAGUUCACUGUGGCAGAGCGAUUAUUGCCAUCAUGGAGUCACUUCGUGGAAGGAAAGGGACUUUGCCUGUACCUUCCAGGUUGUCCUUCCUUCCUUUCUCCUUUUCUUCCUUCUCUGCUUCCUUCCUCCCAGUUUUUAAAAAAGCUUUUUAAAAAUUGUAAAAUCAUGGCAAAGAAAAGCAAUGUAAUCUUUCCAUUACACCGAGAUAUCAUAUUCUCGUCUAGCUUAGCCUCAUAGGAGAGAGCCUGAUAUGAGGAACAAGACAGUUAAUUAAGAGAUGUGUAACCAUGUUCAUUGAGAACUUAAAUGGUCUUUUAAUAAACUCAUGUCCCUGAUGCCUUAGCUUUGAAAGAGUAACUUUAAAAUAUUCCUGCACUAUGAUUUUAAAGUUAUAAAAUAUUCAAUUCCAGUCUCCUUUUUUCUCAGAUAAAUAUACGUCAUAUAAUGGUUCAGCCUGGCAGAAAAGAAUUCCUUUUUCAAAAACAUAUUCAAAAACUGAAAAGAUAAAUACAGGUAAAUAUUUACUAGUGAUUUUAAUGCAUCAUAUAAUUCUGAAAAUGAAAGACAAGUUUUUAAGCUCAAACAACUUAUUUUAGAAAAUUUAGAAAAUUUUCACAAUGCAUAUAAACAAGUACUUGUUUAGAUAUUCUCUCUACUAGCCAUCUUACUUUGUAUUGUUGUGUUCGUCUUUGUUCAUUUUUAUGUGUUAUCAGAAAUCUUUUAAUGUACUUCUCUCCUAGGCUAUAAGUAUAGCAGUUGCAGCAAUUUUAUAAUACGUUAAGAUGCAUUCUUUGUUGAACUGCAAAGCAAAGAUAUAAAACCAUAUGCUGACCCAAAAUAUUACAGCCUUACUGUGUCCACCAUAGACAAAUAUGGGCUGGUACACACUGAAAGGGCAUCAGAGAUGAAGUUUCUAGGCCAGGAGGUUCAGAGCGACUGUGGUCUCCCCCUUGUUGUGCUCUGAUCUCCAGGAAGGCGUGGGGACCCUGGGAAGAACCUCAGGGUAGAGGCUUGUAGCAGAUCUGACCUCAGGUGGUUCUCUGGCUUAAAAGCUUCUUCUACCUUAUCCGGGAGCUGGCUCAAUGGCUUUGGGAAGCCACACAGGAUAAAAUGGUUUCAGUUACUUCUCAGAGAAAUGAACCUUUCAGAAAAAGCCCUUGAUAGGGAGUCCCUACCUAAAUCGAUAGCCCAGAACUUUCAGAAUCAUCUGAAAUACAUAAGCUCUUGUAAGAGCUUCCCAAAAUGAGCCAGAACACAUCCAGACUAGAGACUAUCCUCUUCCCAAGAUAAACUGCUGAAAUCUUCUAAAGCAUUAUUUCUCUAAGCUCUUUGAACUUUAACUGUGAGGCAAUAUGCAAACUUGUAUAUAUAUUUAUGUACUGGAGUUAAUUGUUUUU
Molecule: long non-coding RNA, 3157 nt
Organism: Manis pentadactyla (Chinese pangolin)
Lineage: Eukaryota; Metazoa; Chordata; Mammalia; Pholidota; Manidae
Exons: 4
Source: RefSeq, a predicted model, not a curated record